AGAAACUGCAGGACUUGGUGAACAGGACUCCAUGGAAAAAAUGUUGCUUCUCUGGGGAUGGGGAGUACAUAGUGGCAGGCUCAGCGAGGCAGCAUGCGCUGUAUAUCUGGGAAAAGAGCAUUGGCAAUCUGGUGAAGAUCUUGCAUGGGACCAGAGGGGAGCUCCUGCUGGACGUGGCUGUGAGUAGAGCAAGAUGUUGCUUUGGUGGCACACACUAGCGUGGCUUGAAUCUGUUCUGACCAACAACUCUUCUCUCUCUUAAAUUACAAUUUAGUGGCAUCCAGUUCGACCCAUCAUAGCUUCUAUUUCUAGUGGAGUGGUGUCCAUUUGGGCCCAAAAUCAAGUAGUAAGUAUUUUUCUGGUUGAUUUGCUUUGAAACUUGGUAUUUCUUUUACCAAAAAAAAAAAAAAAAAA
Molecule: long non-coding RNA, 414 nt
Filed under: Rattus norvegicus (Norway rat)
Lineage: Eukaryota; Metazoa; Chordata; Mammalia; Rodentia; Muridae
Description: long non-coding RNA NONRATT008206
Source: RNAcentral